Molecule: ribosomal RNA, 555 nt
Filed under: uncultured bacterium
Lineage: Bacteria
Description: bacterial SSU rRNA
Rfam family: Bacterial small subunit ribosomal RNA
Source: RNAcentral
ACUAUACCUAUUUGCUCCAGAAAGCGGAAAAUUUUUUCCUGGGGUUCUGAGGACAGUCCUAUGUUCUCCCCUCGUGUUGUAAAAUGUUGGUUUAAGUCCGCAAGAGCCAACCCUUAUCCUUUUUCCAGCACGUUAUGGUGGGAACUCAAAAGGAGACUGCCGGUGAUAAACCGGAGGAAGGUGGGGAUGACGUAAGUCAUCAUGGCCUUAGAGUAGGGCUACACCGUGCUACAAUGGGAUGCAUACAGAGAGCGACGAGACCGGAGGUGGAGUGAAUCUCAGAAAGUGCAUCUAAGUCCGGAUUGGAGUCUGCAACUCGACUCCAUGAAGUCGGAAUGCUAGUAAUCGGAAUCAGAAUGUCGGGUGAAUACGUUACCGGGCCUUGUAAACACCGCCGUCACACCAUGGGAGUGGGUUGUACAGAAGUAGAUACGCUUAACCGCGAGGGGGGCGUUUACCACGGUAUGAUUCAUGAUGGGGUGAAGUCGUAACAGGUACCAAUCACUAGUGAAUUUGCGGCGCUGCAGGUCGACCAGAGGGAGAGGAGGGGGGGCC